CAAGUCUGGUGCCAGCAGCCGCGGUAAUUCCAGCUCCAAUAGCGUAUAUUAAAGUUGUUGACAGUUAAAAAGCUCGUAGUUGGACUUCAAGAAGCGCAUCUGGGCAACCAGUUUGCCUUCUACCAGCCCUAGGCUGUUACUGUGAGAAAAUUAGAGUGUUUCAAGCAGGCUUUUGCAGGAAUACAUUAGCAUGGAAUAACGAAUGUGUCUACAAUUUGGUUGAUUGUAGGUUACAAUUAAUAGGGACAGUUGGGGGCAUUAGUAUUUAAUAGUCAGAGGUGAAAUUCUUGGAUUUGUUAAAGACUAACGUAUGCGAAAGCAUUUGCCAAGGAUGUUUUCAUUAAUCAAGAACGAAAGAUAGGGGAUCAAAGACGAUCAGAUACCGUCGUAGUCCUAUCUAUAAACUAUGCCGACUAGGGAUUAGUGCGGUCAGUACCGCAUUAGUACCUUAUGAGAAAUCAAAGUCUUUGGGUUCUGGGG
RNAcentral lists this ribosomal RNA (480 nucleotides) under uncultured eukaryote. RNAcentral's name for it is "SSU rRNA". It matches the Rfam family "Eukaryotic small subunit ribosomal RNA", at positions 556 to 1119 of the family's 1831-position model. The record is from RNAcentral.